This 1739-nucleotide unclassified non-coding RNA is filed under the name Leishmania donovani. RNAcentral describes it as "gene:LdHU3.32.0370(CDS-product:b9_domain-containi ng_protein_1)". The record is from RNAcentral. Lineage: Eukaryota; Euglenozoa; Kinetoplastea; Trypanosomatida; Trypanosomatidae.
ACUGCGGCUGAAAAUCGCUCGACGCGCCUGGUGCGGUACGCGUCCUCGCACAGCCCUCUCUCCCCUUUCUGCUGCGGUGCCAUCCCUGCACGCCGCCCUUCUGAGUUGUCUCUCUCCUUUGUGCUGUCAAGUACGCGCCGGGAAGGUGAGUCGAUAAGAACGAUGAAUUCGAAAGCACCACCUGCUGCGUUGCCGAUACGGCAAGGCAAGGGAUUUCAGGUGAUGGUGCACGGCGUUCUGGAGGGCGCGGAGUGCGUAGAGGUGGGGUCCAUGUUCGCUCGCACCCAGCUCUUUUUCGGCCCUGAUUGGGCUUUCCUGGAGAGCAACAGCGGCUACGGCGAGGACGCGGCGGCAGACGACGACGAUCUCGUCGAGCCCACGUACAGCAACAACGCUGAGGUGGUGACGCAGCUGUCCGACUGCGCCAAGGGCCCCGUCCCGUACUUUAGCUUCACGGCACCUUUUGAGUUCGCGUUGACGAGCACGAACCCAUUCGGCUGGCCGCAGCUAGUCAUUACGCUUCACACCGUCGAAGGCGCUGGUGGGAGCACCGGAAAGGGCGCUGAAGGCAACGACACUCAACUCCUCGGCAGCGGGGAGUCGAUCAUUGGCUACGGUCGGUGCUUUAUUCCCAUGAAGAGCGGCUACCACACAAGGAAGGUCCCCAUGAUGCAGUUGGAGAGCACCACCUCGAAGCAGCAGCUGAUUAGCUUCCUCACCCGCGAGAAGCCGGUGCUGCGCGACCUUUCCUUCUUGUGCACUGGCGACGAUCAGGUGAUGCUGCACGCACGGCCACUCGACGGCUACGUGAAGCUGAACUUCUCUGUCAUGAUCAACGGCAUGGAGUCGUCGGGGUUCGAGGUGUAGCACGCGAGGUCGCCGUCCAACUUUUUUCGGCACUCGCCGCAACGCUGCCGGCACGCACACGCCGGCCGGCUUCACGUUUACUCUUGCGCAGAUGAGCUGACCACGUUGGCACAUGCCUUCUUUUUCCCUUCUGCAUAGACGCAGCACCUCUGCAUUCGCAUCACGCAUACAAACAGAGAACCCGCGACAGGCAACUGACAAGUCCCAUCGAGUACGGCGAGCCAGGCAGAGAAAGGAGCUGCGCGCGCACAUUGCGACCCUCUCUCCCUCCUUCCCCCUCUCGCUGUGUGUACGGCUCUCCACCUCGUCUCUCCGGCCAUCGUCACUGUUGUCGAUCUUACCGUUUCGUCUCGUGUUUUACAUCCGGUUACGCGACGUCCCAGUUGCUUCGCCGCGACAGCGUGCGCACAAGUGUGCCGUAGAGAGAAAAAAUGCGUAUGUGCGGGUGGCUGGUUCAGGGGGGGGUUGAUGGCGGGGCGUCGUUCUCCUUUCCUCCAUCCGCCUCCAUUAUCGACAGACGCACUUGCAGUAGCCACCCGCAGGGGAUGCAGCCGGCAACAUGAUUGCAAAGAUCGUUCUUGGGCUGUGCUUUCCGCGGCAGCCGAGCGUGACAGCUCGUGCUCGCUUGAGCUGACCUCUUCAUGCUCCUGCGCCACACCUCUCGCCCUUGGUGUGUGCUGCGCACACACCAUUUCUGCUCUCGCUGCACGGAUGACAAGUGCACUGCAGCUGCGCACAAAUGCCUUAGCUCCUCUUCCCGCCUCCCCUCAUCUGUUCUUCGGACUACUGGGCCACUCCCCUCCUACCCGCUCUCCACAUUUCCCAUUCGUUCUCUCUGUCUGCGUGUGUGCCCAUGUCUCUCCUAUUUCUAG